UUAAAUUGAAGAGUUUGAUCAUGGCUCAGAUUGAACGCUGGCGGCAGGCCUAACACAUGCAAGUCGAGCGGAAACGAGUUAUCUGAACCUUCGGGGGACGAUAACGGCGUCGAGCGGCGGACGGGUGAGUAAUG
This 134-nucleotide ribosomal RNA is filed under the name Vibrio parahaemolyticus. RNAcentral describes it as "partial 16S ribosomal RNA". It matches the Rfam family "Bacterial small subunit ribosomal RNA", at positions 1 to 115 of the family's 1533-position model. The record is from RNAcentral. Lineage: Bacteria; Pseudomonadati; Pseudomonadota; Gammaproteobacteria; Vibrionales; Vibrionaceae.